CCCCUAGAUGUUCUGGGCCGCACGCGCGCUACACUGAACAGUUCAACAAGUCUUAACCUUGGCCGAUGGGUCUGGGUAAUCUUUGAACGCUGUUCGUGAUUGGGAUAGACCUUUGCAAUUAUGGGUCUUCAACGAGGAAUUCCUAGUAAACGCAAGUCAUCAGCUUGCAUUGAUUACGUCCCUGCCCUUUGUACACACCGCCCGUCGCGCCUACCGAUUGAAUGGUCCGGUGAAAUCUCGGGACGGCGGCUUGGUCGCUUGCGUCCGACUGCUGAAACUUGAUUAAACCAUAUCAUUUAGAGGAAGGUGAAGUCGUAACA
RNAcentral lists this ribosomal RNA (320 nucleotides) under uncultured eukaryote. RNAcentral's name for it is "partial 18S ribosomal RNA". It matches the Rfam family "Eukaryotic small subunit ribosomal RNA", at positions 1470 to 1796 of the family's 1831-position model. The record is from RNAcentral.